AAUUCAUUAAUGGCUGACCAAGGCUCCCUGACUUACAUAGGCCUCGGCUCUAGGGGUGAUAGCCAGUCCUGGUGUCUGAGUAACU
This is a small nucleolar RNA of Hippopotamus amphibius kiboko, 85 nucleotides long. RefSeq annotates it as small nucleolar RNA SNORD86. NCBI's taxonomy places the organism in Eukaryota, Metazoa, Chordata, Mammalia, Artiodactyla, Hippopotamidae. The record is from RefSeq and is a predicted model, not a curated record. The transcript has a single exon.